CUCAACAUUUCAGUUGCUUUGCUUAUGUAUAGUCAUAGAGAUCAGAGGAAUAAAGCUAGAUUCACAUCUUCAGAUUCCAAAGCAGUUGUAAGUAAUAGCAUUGAAAAUCAAAUCAAAUGUAGAGUACAAAAGAAACACAAAUUUGAUGAAUUUAGGGGUGCCUCGUCCAUCUAUCUAUCCUUUUAGGCCUUUUGGCUGGAUAAAUCCAAACGUUUACAUUUUUGCUCUUUUUAUCCGAACCUUUUAAUUUUGAAUAAUUAAAUCAAAACUUUCAAAAUCAAAGAAAUUUUUAUCCAACACUCAAAUUAGAAUUUAGUAAAUUAUAAUUUAGUCCCUGAGAUUUGACGAAACUAUACAAUAUUUUCUAAAUCAAGUAAUUUAGUCCUUGAUUUGUUAACAACUUAGUCCCUUAAUUUAAACUUUAUAUUUAAAUACUAUAAUUAAUAUAUGAUUUUUCUCAAAAUUAAUUCUUCCUCUUGUCAAGAAUUUUUAAGAAUUUUGAAAUUUUUCUUAAGUUUUCCAAUAUAUGUUUUUUAUAUUUAAUCAUUGAAAUUUUGAUUUCUUGAAAUAAAAUAAAAAAAAUUCUUGCGCUAGAAAAACAGAGAUUUAAGGCCACAACUCGACCCGUGAGAUCUCUCCCCGACACUUUGAUCUUCGCGUUUCCAACGGCUAUGGGUUCUUCGGACGGAUUGGUGAAUAAAGGCAAGUCCUGACUCAAUCGCAGUCUGUGACGACUAUAUUAGGGUAGGAAAGAUCAAAGUUUCCCAUUUUUGUCCUAGAAAAUAUAUACAGUUAAAGACAUUGGUCAUUUUUGCUAUAAUUAACAGUUGUUGAAAAUUAUGUACCCAAGAGUGUAAAUAUCAGAUUGGUUGGCUACACGUUGAAUUAGGCUUGAGAAGGGGCUUUCCAUCUCACCCGAUUAGUAUGCCAAUACUAGUAUGCCUUUUAAUUUUCUUGUACAGUGCCAAUGUAGGACUUGUUCCUGCAAGUGAUAUUCUAACACUCUCCCUCAGGUGGUAACCGGGACAUCCAAUUGGCACUUAAAACCUAAAACUGAAAUGCAGCCUCAACAAUAGGAAACAGAACUAAAAUUGACAUGCUCUAAUAUCAAGUUGAGAAUUAUGGACCUAAGAGUGUGAAUAUCAAAUGGCAGGCUAAACGUUGAAACUGGCUCCCCAUCACCAAAAUAACCUAAGCCUUUUUGGUGUGGUUUGCAAACACUUAUAUGCCUUUUAAUUUUUUUGUACACUGACGAUGUGAGACUUUUUCUCAAAAGUGAUAUUCCAACAUUGUUUCUGUUGGAGUAAAAUCUGCUCAACAUCUAGAGGUAUAAAAUCUUGUUCCAAGAAAUACUUCAUCAUAUAUGAAGCAGGAGUUGGCUCUUUACCUUCUUGCUUCUUGCUUCUUGCUUCUUGCUUUAUUGUAGCUAUUCCCACCAAGCAGAAGCACCACCUGUUCAAUUGAUAAGCCACCAAUUUGACUCAUUUUUCAAGGUGCUAUGUCCACAUGGUCAAAGAAUCUAUACACCUUUGCGAUCCAAUCUAAGAAUUCUUCUACUUUAAGAUCUCCAUAAAAAUUAGGAAUAUCAAUAGCAAUUGAUUUUCCCUUUCAUGAUUCUUAUACGUGCCUCUUCUCCUAUCACUACCGUAUUGUUGAUGCCUAUUGAACUUGA
This 1672-nucleotide unclassified non-coding RNA is filed under the name Hevea brasiliensis (rubber tree). Lineage: Eukaryota; Viridiplantae; Streptophyta; Magnoliopsida; Malpighiales; Euphorbiaceae. The record is from RNAcentral.